Molecule: non-coding RNA, 239 nt
Organism: Paramuricea clavata
Lineage: Eukaryota; Metazoa; Cnidaria; Anthozoa; Malacalcyonacea; Plexauridae
Source: the annotation of a GenBank genome assembly
CUUGGUUCAAAAUCUGGUCUUUGUUUUCCCUUCUCUGUACUGUGCAAGGGUAAAGAAAAGAGGUGGUAAUAUGCAUCCUCACAUGCGGCUGAUAGGAACUCUCACUCAUAUGGAAAAUGAAUUGGGUCGUUCCAGAAAAGAUCCAUACUCCCCCCAUGGAGGAAAUUUCUGCCGUCCGGAGGGGGAGGGGAGAAAAAAUUGUUUCUGAUAAUAGUUAAUGUAUUAGGACAUCUGAAGGG